This 72-nucleotide transfer RNA is filed under the name Echinostoma caproni. It matches the Rfam family "tRNA". Rfam says of the family: Transfer RNA (tRNA) molecules are approximately 80 nucleotides in length. The record is from Rfam by way of RNAcentral. Lineage: Eukaryota; Metazoa; Platyhelminthes; Trematoda; Plagiorchiida; Echinostomatidae.
GGAGGCAUAGCUCAGUGGUGGAGCAUUCGACUGCAGAUUGAGAGGUCCCCGCUUCGGACCCGAGUGUCUCGU